This 832-nucleotide ribosomal RNA is filed under the name Lodderomyces parapsilosis. RNAcentral describes it as "Candida parapsilosis partial large subunit ribosomal RNA". It matches the Rfam family "Eukaryotic large subunit ribosomal RNA", at positions 81 to 931 of the family's 3401-position model. Lineage: Eukaryota; Fungi; Ascomycota; Pichiomycetes; Serinales; Debaryomycetaceae. The record is from RNAcentral.
UAGUAGCGGCGAGUGAAGCGGCAAAAGCUCAAAUUUGAAAUCUGGCACUUUCAGUGUCCGAGUUGUAAUUUGAAGAAGGUAUCUUUGGGUCUGGCUCUGUCUAUGUUUCUUGGAACAGAACGUCACAGAGGGUGAGAAUCCCGUGCGAUGAGAUGUCCCAGACCUAUGUAAAGUUCCUUCGAAGAGUCGAGUUGUUUGGGAAUGCAGCUCUAAGUGGGUGGUAAAUUCCAUCUAAAGCUAAAUAUUGGCGAGAGACCGAUAGCGAACAAGUACAGUGAUGGAAAGAUGAAAAGAACUUUGAAAAGAGAGUGAAAAAGUACGUGAAAUUGUUGAAAGGGAAGGGCUUGAGAUCAGACUUGGUAUUUUGUAUGUUACUCUCUCGGGGGUGGCCUCUACAGUUUACCGGGCCAGCAUCAGUUUGAGCGGUAGGAUAAGUGCAAAGAAAUGUGGCACUGCUUCGGUAGUGUGUUAUAGUCUUUGUCGAUACUGCCAGCUUAGACUGAGGACUGCGGCUUCGGCCUAGGAUGUUGGCAUAAUGAUCUUAAGUCGCCCGUCUUGAAACACGGACCAAGGAGUCUAACGUCUAUGCGAGUGUUUGGGUGUAAAACCCGUACGCGUAAUGAAAGUGAACGUAGGUAGGACCUCCUUUAGGAGUGCACUAUCGACCGAUCCUGAUGUCUUCGGAUGGAUUUGAGUAAGAGCAUAGCUGUUGGGACCCGAAAGAUGGUGAACUAUGCCUGAAUAGGGUGAAGCCAGAGGAAACUCUGGUGGAGGCUCGUAGCGGUUCUGACGUGCAAAUCGAUCGUCGAAUUUGGGUAUAGGGGCGAAAGAC